RNAcentral lists this ribosomal RNA (421 nucleotides) under uncultured bacterium. RNAcentral describes it as "bacterial SSU rRNA". It matches the Rfam family "Bacterial small subunit ribosomal RNA", at positions 355 to 773 of the family's 1533-position model. The record is from RNAcentral.
UAAGGAAUAUUGGUCAAUGGACGCAAGUCUGAACCAGCCAUGCCGCGUGGAGGAUGAAGGCCCUCUGGGUUGUAAACUUCUUUUAUUGGGGAAGAAACCGGACCUUUCUAGGACCGUUGACGGUACCCAUUGAAUAAGCACCGGCUAACUCCGUGCCAGCAGCCGCGGUAAUACGGAGGGUGCAAGCGUUAUCCGGAUUCACUGGGUUUAAAGGGUGCGUAGGUGGGCAGGUAAGUCAGUGGUGAAAUCUCCAAGCUUAACUUGGAAACUGCCGUUGAUACUAUCUGUCUUGAAUAUAGUGGAGGUGAGCGGAAUAUGUCAUGUAGCGGUGAAAUGCUUAGAUAUGACAUAGAACAUCGAUUGCGAAGGCAGCUCGCUACACUAUCAUUGACACUGAGGCACGAAAGCGUGGGGAUCAAAC